GAGUUUGAUCAUGGCUCAGAAUGAACGUUGGCGGCGUGGAUUAGGCAUGCAAGUCGCGCGAUAAAUUGCCUUCGGGUGAUGGAAAGCGGCGAAAGGGAGAGUAACACGCGGGUACCUACCCUCAGGACCGGGAUAGCUGCGGGAAACUGCAAUUAAUACCGGAUGAUGUCUCCGGACCAAAGGUGUGAUUCCGCCGGAGGAGGGGCCCACGUCCUAUCAGCUAGUUGGCGAGGUAAUAGCUCACCAAGGCGACGACGGGUACGGGGUGUGAGAGCAUGCCCCCGCUCACUGGGACUGAGACACUGCCCAGACACCUACGGGUGGCUGCAGUCGAGAAUCUUCCGCAAUGGGCGAAAGCCUGACGGAGCGACGCCGCGUGCGGGAUGAAGGCCUUCGGGUUGUAAACCGCUGUCAGUGGGGAGGAAAUGCAUGGGGGUUCUCCCUCGUGUUUGACCGAUCCGCAGAGGAAGCACAGGCUAAGUUCGUGCCAGCAGCCGCGGUAACACGAAUUGUGCAAACGUUAUUCGGAAUCACUGGGCUUAAAGAGUUCGUAGGCGGCGCGUUAAGUCGGGUGUGAAAUCCCUCGGCUCAACCGAGGAAUUGCGCCCGAAACUGGCGUGCUUGAGUGAGAUAGAGGUGAGCGGAACUGAUGGUGGAGCGGUGAAAUGCGUUG
This 673-nucleotide ribosomal RNA is filed under the name uncultured bacterium. RNAcentral's name for it is "bacterial SSU rRNA". It matches the Rfam family "Bacterial small subunit ribosomal RNA", at positions 9 to 693 of the family's 1533-position model. The record is from RNAcentral.